UACGGAGGAUUCGAGCGUUAUCCGGAUUUAUUGGGUUUAAAGGGUGCGCAGGCGGGAAAUUAAGUCGGCGGUGAAAUUUUGCGGCUCAACCGUAAAAGUGCCUUCGAUACUGGUUUUCUUGAGUGUAGCUGAAGUAGGCGGAAUUUGUGGUGUAGCGGUGAAAUGCUUAGAUAUCACGAGGAACUCCGAUUGCGCAGGCAGCUUACUAAACCACUACUGACGCUCAUGCACGAAGGCGUGGGGAUCAAACAGGAUUAGAUACCCUGGUAGUCCCU
RNAcentral lists this ribosomal RNA (275 nucleotides) under uncultured prokaryote. RNAcentral's name for it is "partial 16S ribosomal RNA". It matches the Rfam family "Bacterial small subunit ribosomal RNA", at positions 524 to 798 of the family's 1533-position model. The record is from RNAcentral.